UGGCGGACGGGUGAGUAACGCGUGAGAAUCUACCCUCAGGUCGGGGAUAACCCCUGGAAACGGGAGCUAAUACCGGAUGUGCCGAAAGGUGAAAGGUUAACUGCCUGGGGAGGGGCUCGCGUCUGAUUAGCUAGUAGGUGUGGUAAGAGCUUACCUAGGCGACGAUCAGUAGCUGGUCUGAGAGGAUGAGCAGCCACACUGGGACUGAGACACGGCCCAGACUCCUACGGGAGGCAGCAGUGGGGAAUUUUCCGCAAUGGGCGAAAGCCUGACGGAGCAAGACCGCGUGGGGGAGGAAGGCCUUUGGGUUGUAAACCCCUUUUGUUAGGGAAGAAGACAGUGACGGUACCUAACGAAUCAGCCUCGGCUAACUCCGUGCCAGCAGCCGCGGUAAUACGGAGGAGGCAAGCGUUAUCCGGAAUUAUUGGGCGUAAAGCGUCCGUAGGUGGCCCGGCAAGUCGGUUGUCAAAGACCUCAGCUCAACUGAGGAAAG
Molecule: ribosomal RNA, 493 nt
Filed under: Microcoleus sp. SP1
Lineage: Bacteria; Bacillati; Cyanobacteriota; Cyanophyceae; Oscillatoriales; Microcoleaceae
Description: bacterial SSU rRNA
Rfam family: Bacterial small subunit ribosomal RNA
Source: RNAcentral